GCCAGGCAUGGUGGCGGAUGCCUGUAAUCCCAGCUACUCGGGAGGCUGAGGCAGAGAAUUGCUUGAACCUGGGAGGCGGAGGUUGCAGUGAGCCGAGAUCGUGCCACUGCACUCUAGCCUAGGCAACAGAGCAAGACUCUGGCUCAU
RNAcentral lists this non-coding RNA (147 nucleotides) under Homo sapiens (human). Lineage: Eukaryota; Metazoa; Chordata; Mammalia; Primates; Hominidae. The record is from Rfam by way of RNAcentral.